AGUGAACGCUGGCGGUAGGCCUAACACAUGCAAGUCGAACGGCAGCACAGUAAGAGCUUGCUCUUACGGGUGGCGAGUGGCGGACGGGUGAGGAAUACAUCGGAAUCUACUUUUUCGUGGGGGAUAACGUAGGGAAACUUACGCUAAUACCGCAUACGACCUACGGGUGAAAGCAGGGGAUCUUCGGACCUUGCGCGAUUGAAUGAGCCGAUGUCGGAUUAGCUAGUUGGCGGGGGAGAGGCCCACCAAGGCGACGAUCCGUAGCUGGUCUGAGAGGAUGGUCAGCCACACGGGAACUGAGACACGGUCCAGACUCCUGCGGGAGGCAGCAGUGGGGAAUAUUGGACGAUGGGCGAGAGCCUGAUCCAGCCAUACCGCGUGGGUGAAGAAGGCCUUCGGGUUGUAAAGCCCUGUUGUUGGGAAAGAAAAGCAGCAGGUUAAUACCCCGCUGUUCUGACGGUACCCAAAGAAUAAGCACCGGCUAACUUCGUG
This 492-nucleotide ribosomal RNA is filed under the name uncultured bacterium. RNAcentral's name for it is "partial 16S ribosomal RNA". It matches the Rfam family "Bacterial small subunit ribosomal RNA", at positions 29 to 507 of the family's 1533-position model. The record is from RNAcentral.